Molecule: ribosomal RNA, 1730 nt
Filed under: Salmonella enterica subsp. enterica serovar Muenchen str. baa1594
Lineage: Bacteria; Pseudomonadati; Pseudomonadota; Gammaproteobacteria; Enterobacterales; Enterobacteriaceae
Description: bacterial LSU rRNA
Rfam family: Bacterial large subunit ribosomal RNA
Source: RNAcentral
UGUUGUUGGGUAGGGGAGCGUUCUGUAAGCCUGUGAAGGUGGCCUGUGAGGGUUGCUGGAGGUAUCAGAAGUGCGAAUGCUGACAUAAGUAACGAUAAAGCGGGUGAAAAGCCCGCUCGCCGGAAGACCAAGGGUUCCUGUCCAACGUUAAUCGGGGCAGGGUGAGUCGACCCCUAAGGCGAGGCCGAAAGGCGUAGUCGAUGGGAAACGGGUUAAUAUUCCCGUACUUGGUGUUACUGCGAAGGGGGGACGGAGAAGGCUAUGUUGGCCGGGCGACGGUUGUCCCGGUUUAAGCGUGUAGGUGUGUGUUCCAGGUAAAUCCGGUUCACUUUAACACUGAGGCGUGACGACGAGGCACUACGGUGCUGAAGCAACAAAUGCCCUGCUUCCAGGAAAAGCCUCUAAGCAUCAGGUAACAUCAAAUCGUACCCCAAACCGACACAGGUGGUCAGGUAGAGAAUACCAAGGCGCUUGAGAGAACUCGGGUGAAGGAACUAGGCAAAAUGGUGCCGUAACUUCGGGAGAAGGCACGCUGACACGUAGGUGAAGUGAUUUACUCAUGGAGCUGAAGUCAGUCGAAGAUACCAGCUGGCUGCAACUGUUUAUUAAAAACACAGCACUGUGCAAACACGAAAGUGGACGUAUACGGUGUGACGCCUGCCCGGUGCCGGAAGGUUAAUUGAUGGGGUCAGCGCAAGCGAAGCUCCUGAUCGAAGCCCCGGUAAACGGCGGCCGUAACUAUAACGGUCCUAAGGUAGCGAAAUUCCUUGUCGGGUAAGUUCCGACCUGCACGAAUGGCGUAAUGAUGGCCAGGCUGUCUCCACCCGAGACUCAGUGAAAUUGAACUCGCUGUGAAGAUGCAGUGUACCCGCGGCAAGACGGAAAGACCCCGUGAACCUUUACUAUAGCUUGACACUGAACAUUGAGCCUUGAUGUGUAGGAUAGGUGGGAGGCUUUGAAGCGUGGACGCCAGUCUGCGUGGAGCCGACCUUGAAAUACCACCCUUUAAUGUUUGAUGUUCUAACGUGGACCCGUAAUCCGGGUUGCGGACAGUGUCUGGUGGGUAGUUUGACUGGGGCGGUCUCCUCCUAAAGAGUAACGGAGGAGCACGAAGGUUGGCUAAUCCUGGUCGGACAUCAGGAGGUUAGUGCAAUGGCAUAAGCCAGCUUGACUGCGAGCGUGACGGCGCGAGCAGGUGCGAAAGCAGGUCAUAGUGAUCCGGUGGUUCUGAAUGGAAGGGCCAUCGCUCAACGGAUAAAAGGUACUCCGGGGAUAACAGGCUGAUACCGCCCAAGAGUUCAUAUCGACGGCGGUGUUUGGCACCUCGAUGUCGGCUCAUCACAUCCUGGGGCUGAAGUAGGUCCCAAGGGUAUGGCUGUUCGCCAUUUAAAGUGGUACGCGAGCUGGGUUUAGAACGUCGUGAGACAGUUCGGUCCCUAUCUGCCGUGGGCGCUGGAGAACUGAGGGGGGCUGCUCCUAGUACGAGAGGACCGGAGUGGACGCAUCACUGGUGUUCGGGUUGUCAUGCCAAUGGCACUGCCCGGUAGCUAAAUGCGGAAGAGAUAAGUGCUGAAAGCAUCUAAGCACGAAACUUGCCCCGAGAUGAGUUCUCCCUGAGACUUAGGUCUCCUGAAGGAACGUUGAAGACGACGACGUUGAUAGGCCGGGUGUGUAAGCGCAGCGAUGCGUUGAGCUAACCGGUACUAAUGAACCGUGAGGCUUAACCUUAC